Molecule: regulatory RNA element, 101 nt
Organism: Tersicoccus phoenicis
Lineage: Bacteria; Bacillati; Actinomycetota; Actinomycetes; Micrococcales; Micrococcaceae
Rfam family: SAM riboswitch aptamer (S box leader)
About the family: The SAM riboswitch is found upstream of a number of genes which code for proteins involved in methionine or cysteine biosynthesis in Gram-positive bacteria. The SAM riboswitch acts at the level of transcription termination control.
Source: Rfam
GCACCAUCCCGAGCGGCCGAGAGAUCUGGAUCGAUGACGCCGCAGCAACCGUGGUCGAAGAACCGCUGACCACACGGUGCUACCGCCAGAAGCGAUGGAAG